This is a long non-coding RNA of Felis catus (domestic cat), 1626 nucleotides long. RefSeq lists it as uncharacterized. The record is from RefSeq and is a predicted model, not a curated record. Lineage: Eukaryota; Metazoa; Chordata; Mammalia; Carnivora; Felidae. The transcript is spliced from 3 exons.
UAAUACAUUAUAGAUGGCAAUUAUGAUUUAUAUCAUCACGUCAAUUUCCAAUGGAAAAACUUCCAAUCUCCAUUAAAAAAUAUUUCCAUAAAAUACAGGCUUCAGUUACAAAGUCAAGGGCUCAGAAAAGAGAUGCUAUCUUUAUACUUUAACAAACUUGGUCAAUAUUUUUCCUUAUAGUUUUAUUCACAGAAUUUGUGAAUGAGGCUAGUAUGUGAUUUUCAUCUUCUGUUAGGUCCAUUCUCAUUGUUCACUUUAAAUAUAAUGUAUUUUUUAAAAGGCAAUAGCAUUGACAUUCAAGGCCCCUGCUCUCUGGAGAAAAGAGGCACUUCUAAGUUUAGAAGGGAGAGGCCCCAAGAAAGGAUAAAAGCCUGGCUCAGUCUAUGUGAAAUGAAAAUGUUCUGUCAAUAAUAAUCAAUUUAAAAAACGGCACCACAUACUGAGGAAAAAGAGCUGACCACACUUGAAAGACUGAAAAUGCAGAAAAUUAACCAGGGAGGAAACAGAAAAAUAUUUCUCCUUCGUAAUAGUCUAGAAGACACAGUUUAUAUCCUAUUUCUCGCUUGAAAUACGAAUUCAAAAUGCAAGCAGCUCGUCAGUGAAAGCGAUACUCUCCUAUAUUGUCACAGUGGCUGCAAAUCAGAGCUCUGACUUUGGAAAAUACGAUGAGAAAAUAUAUCAGGGCUUUAAAGUUUCACCCCCAUCGAUCAGGUUGUGCUAAUUCUGAGAAGAAAUUAGAAGUAAAACUAUAAAUACUGUGUCAAAGCCUGAAUCGUGAUCCCCCCCCCCCUCAAAGAUAUCACGUCCCGAUGGCAGGAACUCGUAAUCAUUGCCUUACGUGGUAAAGAUUUUGCAGCUGUGAGCAAGGGAUCAUGAGAUCGGGGGAUCAUCUGGGAAAGUCCAGCAGGUCCCACGCCUGCUCAUAAGCGUCUUUCUGAGAGGGCGGCAGAGGGAGACACGCACCACGCACGUACGUACGUACGUACGUGCAUGCACACGCACGCACACCCGGAAGUGAUGCGGCGUCAGGACAGGGAGGGAUUUAAAGGUGUUCGCCGUGAAACCCAGUGAUGGGACAAUCCCCCGGGAAUGCUGGCUGGCAGACAGCACGAGCUGGGAGAGGGAAGAGCGUGUUUCCUCAUCUGUAAAAUGGAAAGAAAUCAGGCCAGAAUCAAUGUGAGGAUAAAAUAACAAAACAGGGCUCAUAGAUUUAAAUGCCAUAAGGUGCCAGGCUGAAAAUGAAUGAGGAACCUAGUAUGGACAAUCUGGAGUAGUGACGAUGGUAGAAACUCAAGAAGGCAAACUCAACCUAAGUGGAAGCAUACUAAAAUGCUGUCCUAACACAACUCUGCCAGAUCCUGGUCCCAGCCUGCAAGCUACUGAAACACAUGGACUCUUCUGUACCAUAAUAGACUCAAUGUGUUGCUCAACUUUACAUUAAACAUAGCUAAACAUUAGUAUGCUGAUCAACCAAUGUGUCAAUUGUCUGAAUUAGCAAAGGACUGUUGUCUCAGGUAUGUCUCUUUCCUUAGGUUCGACCACAUUAUUUGUCCCAUACUUUCAUUCUUGGUUCAUAGGACUGUCUUCCCCAAGUUGAGUGUGAGCUUCUUUAAGAGGGAAGCAAGG